Molecule: ribosomal RNA, 253 nt
Filed under: uncultured bacterium
Lineage: Bacteria
Description: partial 16S ribosomal RNA
Rfam family: Bacterial small subunit ribosomal RNA
Source: RNAcentral
UACAGAGGUCCCAAGCGUUGUUCGGAUUCAUUGGGCGUAAAGGGUGCGUAGGCGGCGCGGUAAGUCGGGUGUGAAAUCUCGGGGCUUAACUCCGAAACUGCAUUCGAUACUGCCGUGCUUGAGGACUGGAGAGGAGACUGGAAUUUACGGUGUAGCGGUGAAACGCGUAGAUAUCGUAAGGAAGACCGGUGGCGAAGGCGGAUCUCUGGACAGUUCCUGACGCUGAGGCGCGAAGGCCAGGGGAGCAAACGGG